UAAGAGUCAAGACUGCUUGGGAAA
RNAcentral lists this non-coding RNA (24 nucleotides) under Rattus norvegicus (Norway rat). Lineage: Eukaryota; Metazoa; Chordata; Mammalia; Rodentia; Muridae. The record is from RNAcentral.